GGGAGGUAGUGACAAUAAAUAACAAUACGGGGUCCUUUAGGGUCUCGUAAUUGGAAUGAGUACAAUUUAAAUCUCUUAACGAGGAACAAUUGGAGGGCAAGUCUGGUGCCAGCGGCCGCGGUAAUUCCAGCUCCAAUAGCGUAUAUUAAAGUUGUUGCAGUUAAAAAGCUCGUAGUUGAAUUUCGGGAUCAAUAUAUCGGUCGUGCCUUGGUACGUACUGGUAUCAUUGGUUUCUCCUUUCUGACGAACCAUGAUGUCAUUAAUUUGGUGUUAUGGGAAGUUAGGACUGUUACUUUGAAAAAAUUAGAGUGUUUAAAGCAGGCUUUAGCUUGAAUACAUUAGCAUGGAAUAAUGAAAUAGGACGUUUGACCCUAUUUUGUUGGUUUCUAGGAUCGACGUAAUGAUUAAUAGGGAUAGUUGGG
This 422-nucleotide ribosomal RNA is filed under the name uncultured Glomeraceae. RNAcentral's name for it is "SSU rRNA". It matches the Rfam family "Eukaryotic small subunit ribosomal RNA", at positions 459 to 886 of the family's 1831-position model. The record is from RNAcentral. Lineage: Eukaryota; Fungi; Glomeromycota; Glomeromycetes; Glomerales; Glomeraceae.